UGGGGAAUAUUGCGCAAUGGGCGAAAGCCUGACGCAGCGACGCCGCGUGAGGGAUGAAGGUUUUCGGAUCGUAAACCUCUGUCAGAAGGGAAGAAACCGCACUGUGCUAAUCAGCAGUGCCUUGACGGUAUCUUCAAAGGAAGCACCGGCUAACUCCGUGCCAGCAGCCGCGGUAAUACGGAGGGUGCAAGCGUUAAUCGGAAUUACUGGGCGUAAAGCGCACGUAGGCUGCUUUGUAAGUCAGGGGUGAAAUCCCACGGCUCAACCGUGGAACUGCCUUUGAUACUGCUUAGCUUGAAUCCGGGAGAGGGUGGCGGAAUUCCAGGUGUAGGAGUGAAAUCCGUAGAUAUCUGGAGGAACAUCAGUGGCGAAGGCGGCCACCUGGACCGGUAUUGACGCUGAGGUGCGAAAGCGUGGGGAGCAAACAGG
Molecule: ribosomal RNA, 429 nt
Filed under: Fusobacteriota bacterium
Lineage: Bacteria; Fusobacteriati; Fusobacteriota
Description: Fusobacteria bacterium partial 16S ribosomal RNA
Rfam family: Bacterial small subunit ribosomal RNA
Source: RNAcentral